This is a long non-coding RNA of Gorilla gorilla gorilla (western lowland gorilla), 841 nucleotides long. RefSeq lists it as uncharacterized. The transcript is spliced from 4 exons. The record is from RefSeq and is a predicted model, not a curated record. Lineage: Eukaryota; Metazoa; Chordata; Mammalia; Primates; Hominidae.
AAAGCUCCCACUUCUCCAGGUGGAAGGCAAGGAAUCCCUUCAUGAAGUGCUUGACAAAUACAUUUUUUUUCUUUGACUUGACAGGCUUUGCUCCACAGUUCAGAAAAGCUGAAAGGCUGAAAGUCUGCUUCAGUAUUUGAAUUGUCCCCAGAAAAACUAUAUGAAACCAAGUGGAUUAGCAAGAGGCUGCCUGGCUGACCCCGGCUCUCAGAAGGGCUCUCAGGGUGACCUGCUACGACUAUUGGGAGGACAAAUCCUGGAAGUGGAAAUGCCAGGCGAAAUUACCUGCUCACUGAGGCUCCAAAGGAAUGACCAUGAGGCUCCAACUCUCACAGCCUCCUGCAAGCCAUCCUGCUUCAAGUCCUCACUGUGCUGAUGGCUGCCUGUGUGCGAGACAGGGACAGUCUCUUAACCUCACUGUGCCUCAGUUUCCUCAUGUGAAAGAUGGGGAUAAAAAUAGUGCUUGACUCAAGGGUUGGUACCUCAGUCAUGAACCUUAAGAUGUGUGAGGAAAACGUAUUACUUUUUCUCUCCUACGGCAUCUAGUUUUAGACCUCUCAUUUUGUAUGAAAUCAGAUCUUAAAGAUCUAGAGUCUACUUUCCUCCGAGCGCCAUGCUCUUCAGGUUGCUGAAUUCUUCAGGAAUCCAGGUAGGCCUAGUAUGCUCUCCACCUCUCGAUAAAAAAUUACAAAGAGCAACCUGCUCAGUGCUUUUGUUCCAAAUUAGAAACCUUAAGUCCGGAAUCAGUUUUUCAGCAGAAACACAGGCUAUAGGUUGCAGAUGGUCCUUUACUCAUUGCAGUGUGAAAGUACUUCAUAAUAUUAGUAUGAAAUGUGACCAC